Molecule: ribosomal RNA, 346 nt
Filed under: uncultured bacterium
Lineage: Bacteria
Description: partial 16S ribosomal RNA
Rfam family: Bacterial small subunit ribosomal RNA
Source: RNAcentral
CCUACGGGUGGCAGCAGUGAGGAAUAUUGGUCAAUGGGCGCGAGCCUGAACCAGCCAAGUAGCGUGAAGGAUGACUGCCCUACGGGUUGUAAACUUCUUUUAUAAAGGAAUAAAGUGAGGCACGUGUGCCUUUUUGUAUGUACUUUAUGAAUAAGGAUCGGCUAACUCCGUGCCAGCAGCCGCGGUAAUACGGAGGAUCCGAGCGUUAUCCGGAUUUAGUGGGGUUAAAGGGCGCGUAGAGGGGUUGUUAAGUCAGUUGUGAAAGUUUGCGGCUCACCCGGAAAAUUGCAAUUGCUACUGGCAGUCUUGCGUACAGUUGCGGUAGGCGGAAUUCGUGGUGUAGCGG